This 253-nucleotide ribosomal RNA is filed under the name uncultured bacterium. Its description in RNAcentral is "partial 16S ribosomal RNA". It matches the Rfam family "Bacterial small subunit ribosomal RNA", at positions 524 to 776 of the family's 1533-position model. The record is from RNAcentral.
UACAGAGGUGCCAAGCGUUGUUCGGAUUUAUUGGGCGUAAAGGGUGCGUAGGCGGGCCUUUAAGUCAGGGGUGAAAUCCUGGAGCUCAACUCCAGAACUGCCUUUGAUACUGAAGAUCUUGAGUUCGGGAGAGGUGAGUGGAACUGCGAGUGUAGAGGUGAAAUUCGUAGAUAUUCGCAAGAACACCAGUGGCGAAGGCGGCUCACUGGCCCGAUACUGACGCCGAGGCACGAAAGCGUGGGGAGCAAACAGG